RNAcentral lists this ribosomal RNA (162 nucleotides) under uncultured bacterium. Its description in RNAcentral is "partial 16S rRNA". It matches the Rfam family "Bacterial small subunit ribosomal RNA", at positions 358 to 511 of the family's 1533-position model. The record is from RNAcentral.
GGGAUCUUCCACAAUGGACGAAAGUCUGAUGGAGCAACGCCGCGUGAGUGAAGAAGGUUUUCGGAUCGUAAAGCUCUGUUGUAAGAGAAGAACGUGUGUGAGAGUGGAAAGUUCACACAGUGACGGUAACUUACCAGAAAGGGACGGCUAACUACGUGCCAG